GCGGGUGUAGCUCAAUGGUAGAGCACUGGCCUUCCAAGCCAGCUGUGUGAGUUCGAUUCUCAUCACCCGCUCCA
Molecule: transfer RNA, 74 nt
Filed under: Bacillota bacterium
Lineage: Bacteria; Bacillati; Bacillota
Description: Firmicutes bacterium (anaerobic digester metagenome) tRNA-Gly
Rfam family: tRNA
About the family: Transfer RNA (tRNA) molecules are approximately 80 nucleotides in length. Their secondary structure includes four short double-helical elements and three loops (D, anti-codon, and T loops). Further hydrogen bonds mediate the characteristic L-shaped molecular structure. tRNAs have two regions of fundamental functional importance: the anti-codon, which is responsible for specific mRNA codon recognition, and the 3' end, to which the tRNAs corresponding amino acid is attached (by aminoacyl-tRNA synthetases). tRNAs cope with the degeneracy of the genetic code in two manners: having more than one tRNA (with a specific anti-codon) for a particular amino acid; and 'wobble' base-pairing, i.e. permitting non-standard base-pairing at the 3rd anti-codon position.
Source: RNAcentral